UCCCUAGUUUGCAGAGUGAAGGCACUGGCCCAAAGCACCUUCAGUUUCCUGAGGGCCCGGCUGACCAUGCAGCGCCCCGCUGCUCAAGGCUCCACACAGGUUCUGGGUGCUGAGAUCCUGAGGACAGUGAGAGGGAUCACAUUUUCACCAAGCCCAGGCCCCUGGCCAGGAGCCCUGGGAGGCCGCCCAGCCCCUCAUCCUCACAGACAAUGACAGAUCCAUCUUCAAAGCACGGAGCACAGGCUGGGCCCUGUCGGCGAUUCCUGCCAGCACUCAGCGUGCCCUGUGGGGUGAAUGCUCAAGUCAAUCCAGUGUAGCAAAUAUUGUCUGACCAUCUACCCACAUGUGGGGCACGAGCGUGGUAGCAAGAGGAAAGGGGAGUUGAUGUGGCUCCUGCUCCAUGAGCCCCACUCUCCAGGGAGGGGAGGAUAACUGGAUGAAUCUGUGAACAAGAACCAAACUAGAAAACAGCAGCCUCUGCAUCUUCUGAAUACCCAUGGAGCAGGAACACUAAGGGAAGUUCUGUGAAAGGGUCUGCCCGUGGCCUGGGCUCUAAGAGAUCAUGCAUUUCAACAAAUGCCAACAGCAUCACACGUGGCAUCAUCCAGUGGCACCACACAGGCCUGGGAGAGCCAGGUCUGUGAGCGUCACUCUGUCCGGCAUAGUCUGUGCAGGCCAGCGAGUGCUGCCGCACACUGUGAAACAAAAACUCCAACAGCAGCAAGCACGUGUGUCCUGCUCACAGGUCGCAAGUCGGCUGAAGCGUCUCUGCUCUCACUGGGGUCUGCUCACAUGCUCAUUCCAGGGCUCAGGCUGAAGGAGCAGUCGCCGCCCGGGCCUACCCCUCUCAAGGUGCAAGGCAGGGGGACGAAAGGCCAGCACAGCCACACGACGGUGGGAGCCUCGGUUGCAGCUGAAACAUCUUAUGUCCGCCCUCAUUCCGCGGGCUGCAGCAGGUCAUGAGGCAAGUCUUUGGGACGAAGAAGUGCACUCUGUCCAGAAUACACCUUGCCAAGGAUGGGGAGGGAAGGAAAACUGAAAAAUUGAUACGACCUGCUUAACAGACGGCGGCCAGGACGUCAUAGCCGUUGAAACUGGAAACAGACUGGACCUUGUAUGGGAGAGGCUGGGUUGUUCACUAAACUUUCCCUCCUGGACACAGAACCGGACUACAUUUCCCGGCUUCGUUUGUAGCUCGUGUCUGAAUCUGGCCAGGGAAGUGGGGAGACGAUGAACUCUACUCCCAGGCCCAGACGGUUAAACCUCCUACACCAUCCUCCGUUCUUUCCUCAUCUGCUGGGUAGAUACACAGAAUCUAGCUGAGGACCCUGAAGCCCAAGAUGACAGCAGAGACACAUGGGCCCCUCAGUCACCGCUUGGGGGACAGUCACCAGGAGACACCCAGGUUAGUCUGCCUAGGGAAUUGUGGGCACACUUUUCUAGUGUCAAGUCAGAGAUUUGGGGAUUGUUUGUUACAGCAGUUGAUCUCCCUACUGUUACCUCAUGUCACAGAGGCCCCAGGGUGUGGCUCAGUGGGGCUAAGUCAGGAAGGCCUGGGCUGAAAUAUCCACCCUAGCACUUUUCAGUGGGAUCACCUUGAGCAAACUGCUAUACCUCUCUAGACCUUAAUUUUUCAUCUUUAAACAGGGAUUCAUAGUUCCUACCUCAAAAGAUAUAUUAAUGACAAACUCCAUCACUAAACCAGGUGAGGAGUCUUACUGAGUCCCAGCAGGUGGCCCCACUGGCCCAGAAGUUUACAAGAGGCUUUCAGGAGGUGGGAAGCCACCACAUGGCAUGUUGAGGGGUAAGUCUUCCUGGGGGCUCGCUCUGCUCAGGGCAGGGACUGGGGGGCAGGAUGCCCUUCAGGGCUGGGAAAAGCCACAGCGCAGGAGGGGCGGGUCCUCUGCUUUGCUG
Long non-coding RNA from Bos taurus (domestic cattle), 1914 nucleotides. The record is from Ensembl. Lineage: Eukaryota; Metazoa; Chordata; Mammalia; Artiodactyla; Bovidae.